RNAcentral lists this small RNA (29 nucleotides) under Bombyx mori (domestic silkworm). Its description in RNAcentral is "ovarian small RNA-19947". The record is from RNAcentral. Lineage: Eukaryota; Metazoa; Arthropoda; Insecta; Lepidoptera; Bombycidae.
UAAUUUACAAGUUGCUUUACAAAUCGGUC